AUUGAACGCUGGCGGCAGGCUUAACACAUGCAAGUCGAGCGGAGUGAUGGUGCUUGCACUAUCACUUAGCGGCGGACGGGUGAGUAAUGCUUAGGAAUCUGCCUAUUAGUGGGGGACAACAUCUCGAAAGGGAUGCUAAUACCGCAUACGUCCUACGGGAGAAAGCAGGGGAUCACUUGUGACCUUGCGCUAAUAGAUGAGCCUAAGUCGGAUUAGCUAGUUGGUGGGGUAAAGGCCUACCAAGGCGACGAUCUGUAGCGGGUCUGAGAGGAUGAUCCGCCACACUGGGAAUGAGACACGGCCCAGACUCCUACGGGAGGCAACAGUGGGGAAUAUUGGACAAUGGGGGGAACCCUGAUCCAGCCAUGCCGCGUGUGUGAAGAAGGCCUUAUGGUUGUAAAGCACUUUAAGCGAGGAGGAGGCUCUUUUGGUUAAUACCCAAGAUGAGUGGACGUUACUCGCAGAAUAAGCACCGGCUAACUCUGUGCCAGCCGCCGCCGUAA
Molecule: ribosomal RNA, 503 nt
Filed under: uncultured bacterium
Lineage: Bacteria
Description: partial 16S ribosomal RNA
Rfam family: Bacterial small subunit ribosomal RNA
Source: RNAcentral